RNAcentral lists this ribosomal RNA (450 nucleotides) under uncultured bacterium. Its description in RNAcentral is "partial 16S ribosomal RNA". It matches the Rfam family "Bacterial small subunit ribosomal RNA", at positions 338 to 795 of the family's 1533-position model. The record is from RNAcentral.
CCUACGGGCGGCAGCAGUGAGGAAUAUUGCGCAAUGGGGGCAACCCUGACGCAGCGACGCCGCGUGAGUGAGGAAGGCCUUCGGGUCGUAAAGCUCUGUCAAAGGGAAAGAAGUGCAUGGUGGCUAAUACCUGCCAUGUUUGACGGUACCCUUAAAGGAAGCACCGGCUAACUCCGUGCCAGCAGCCGCGGUAAUACGGAGGGUGCAAGCGUUGUUCGGAGUCACUGGGCGGAAAGGGCGCGUCGGCGGUGAAAGCCCACGGCUUAACUGUGGAAGUGCAUUUGAAACUGUCAGACUUGAGUAUCAGAGGGGAAAGUGGAAUUCCCGGUGUAGAGGUGAAAUUCGUAGAUAUCGGGAGGAAUACCGGUGGCGAAGGCGACUUUCUGGCUGAAUACUGACGCUGAGGCGCGAAAGCGUGGGGAGCAAACAGGAUUAGAUACCCUAGUAGUC